Non-coding RNA from Ictidomys tridecemlineatus (thirteen-lined ground squirrel), 1467 nucleotides. NCBI's taxonomy places the organism in Eukaryota, Metazoa, Chordata, Mammalia, Rodentia, Sciuridae. The record is from RefSeq and is a predicted model, not a curated record.
AUAGAGGUUGAGGUAGAAUGCAGGGCACGGAGAUGAACAAGGCCUGAGGCAUGGCAAAAUAAUGCACAAGAAGGCCAACAGGGCCUGCCAGAAAAGACAUGUGCAGGAAAAGGAGGACAGGAGCACGAGUCCUGCCCGGUCAAAAUGGAGAAUGCAUUUAUAAAUGUCUUUCAGAAUUCAUCUGAAAGGGUCAGGAGAAGGAGUCUCUCUCUACAACACACCAAGACAUCUCUGCCCAAAGGGAAGAAUUCAUCUGACCAGGGAGAACAGGGAAGAGCUUCUUCAGACUUCUUUAUCCUAUCCUACAAGAUCCCUGUCUUUAGCUGCAUGAAUUGUUCCUAGGUCCUUUUACCACAGCCUGCCUGAGCAACUAAAUCAUUAUGAAAACAGUCUAUUCUCUCCCUUCUACUCCUAGGUCUUUUUGGAGAAAAUCAGACAACAGUAUGUGUUUACUGAAAGGUCAUCGCACAGAUCUUUCUCUCCUCUCAAGGGCAGUCCCAAACUUCCCCUAGCUUCUUUCCUCACUUAAGCUGUCUCUAAUCUCUUGCUUUCAUUCUCGGCAGAAACCUAGUUUUUAAAUUUGUGUUAACAAUGACAAAUUUGAUUCCUAAGUAAAUUUGAUUCCUAAUAAUGACAAAUUUGUGUAGAGCAAAAAGCUUUGAAUGCUUUAUUUUGUUUACACAUGGCAAUAGCUCAGUGAGUUAGAGUAACUAUCCUUUUUUCACCAAAAAGGAAACAGAUUCUGUGAGAAGUUAAAAUGACUUGUCCCAUGAGUGUACAGUAUAUUUCGAAUAACCAAUUACCCAAAUUUAUUGGCUUAAAAUAAUAAUUCUUUACUAUUUCUCAAGACAUAUGGGUUCACUGGCUGAAUCUACUGCUCUGGGCUGGAAUGACUCAGCUCUUGUCAAGUGGGAUUUGGGGACAAUUCAGCUUUGCUUCCUGUAGCUUCUUACCUCCUUCUAUCAGGUUUAUUCUCAUAGAAAUUACAGGUGCUCAAGAAAGGAAGGAGAAACACCCAACUGCUUUUCCAAACUCUAUUUGCUAUCAUUUGAACCAAAGCAAAGCACAUGACUGAUCCCAGAAUCAUAAUGAGAGGAGACUACAGAAUGCUGGGCAAAAAUAACCCAUUAAUUUGGACUAUAAAUGAAACUUAUCUACCUCAUAUAGCUAAUAAGUUGAAUAAAUAAGUUUCAAGAUCAAAUCUCUUUCAACACAGAGUUCAUUUUCUUUACUAUAACAGAACAACGUAGACUAGGUAAUUCAUAAAAAAAGUUGAGCUAUAUCAUGCCUCAGUUAAGUAUUCAAAAGAAUUAAAGUUAAAUUAUAGUAUUCCAUACUAUAGCAAUAUAUGCAUACCUGUGUUUAUAGAAGAACAAUUCCAAUAGCCAAAUUGUGGAAACAACCUAGGUGUCCAUCAAUAGGUAAAUAGAUAAAGAAAAUAUGUAUGUAUACACAAUGGAUUUCUAG